UCGGUGGGGUAACCCGCAAGGGAGCCAGCCGCCGAAGGUGGGGUAGAUGAUUGGGGUGAAGUCGUAACAAGGUAGCCGUAUCGGAAGGUGCGGCUGGAUCACCUCCUUUCUAUGGAGA
RNAcentral lists this ribosomal RNA (118 nucleotides) under Paenibacillus polymyxa. RNAcentral describes it as "partial 16S ribosomal RNA". It matches the Rfam family "Bacterial small subunit ribosomal RNA", at positions 1427 to 1533 of the family's 1533-position model. RNAcentral also lists the same sequence under 2 other names. Lineage: Bacteria; Bacillati; Bacillota; Bacilli; Caryophanales; Paenibacillaceae. The record is from RNAcentral.